Molecule: long non-coding RNA, 257 nt
Filed under: Elaeis guineensis (African oil palm)
Lineage: Eukaryota; Viridiplantae; Streptophyta; Magnoliopsida; Arecales; Arecaceae
Description: long non-coding RNA (EGUI_LNC052669)
Source: RNAcentral
ACGGUUAGACUCUAGGAUGUGGGCUAAAGGAUUCAGAGCUGACAUAGUUAAACUGUGAAGAGUAAAGAUUCUAGUUAGACAUUUGUACUUAAUUUUGUAUUUAUUCUAGAGAUUUUAAGAAACAAAUAGGCUCUCACUAUUUUCUCAGAUCUCUCAUACUUUUCGAGUAGAGAAACAAAAACCCUAACAUGACAUAGAUUUCUAGUGGAUACUACGAUCCCACUGAUGUAUGUGCACCUCAUCUGAUAGAUAUUGGU